Apis dorsata (giant honeybee) is the source of this 274-nucleotide long non-coding RNA. RefSeq lists it as uncharacterized. The transcript has 2 exons. The record is from RefSeq and is a predicted model, not a curated record. Lineage: Eukaryota; Metazoa; Arthropoda; Insecta; Hymenoptera; Apidae.
UUUCGGGAUCGGGAUCGUCUCGCGCGUCGAGACGGCUGGCGUCGCGUUAUCGGGUCCGUCGUUGAUCGGACAAAGCCGGUUGUUUUGUUCGUUCUCUCCGUUCCCUCUGCGUGCGUGUGCGUGGGUGCGUGCGUGUAUGCGUGCGUGCGCGCCGACCAAAGACAUCCUCGCGUGUGGAGCUUCGUGUUCGAAAUAAACCGAAAACGAAAAUCGCGAGCGAACCGCCUCCACGGAAGCAAGCCCGUCGUCGCACGAACCACUACACUAGGAAUAA